RNAcentral lists this non-coding RNA (30 nucleotides) under Mus musculus (house mouse). The record is from RNAcentral. Lineage: Eukaryota; Metazoa; Chordata; Mammalia; Rodentia; Muridae.
UAGAGGCGUCAACCUGUUCAUCAGCUCAGC